This 465-nucleotide ribosomal RNA is filed under the name uncultured bacterium. Its description in RNAcentral is "partial 16S ribosomal RNA". It matches the Rfam family "Bacterial small subunit ribosomal RNA", at positions 339 to 795 of the family's 1533-position model. The record is from RNAcentral.
CUACGGGAUGCACCAGUGGGGAAUAUUGGACAAUGGGGGAAACCCUGAUCCAGCAAUGCCGCGUGUGUGAAGAAGGCCUGCGGGUUGUAAAGCACUUUCGGUUGGGAGGACUGCUUCUAGCACUAAUAUUGUUGGAAGUUGACGUUACCUUCAGAAGAAGCACCGGCUAACUCAGUGCCAGCAGCCGCGGUAAUACUGAGGGUGCAAGCGUUAAUCGGAAUUACUGGGCGUAAAGCGCGCGUAGGUGGUUAGAUCAGUUGGGUGUGAAAGCCCCGGGCUUAACCUGGGAACUGCAUCCGAUACUGUCUAGCUUGAGUACAGGAGAGGAGAGUGGAAUUCCACAUGUAGCGGUGAAAUGCGUAGAUAUGUGGAGGAACACCAAUGGCGAAGGCAGCUCUCUGGCCUGAUACUGACGCUGAGGUGCGAAAGCGUGGGGAGCAAACAGGAUUAGAUACCCGUGUAGUC